GUCGGCUUCACUGGGUUUCCAGGACCUAAGGGGCCAAAUGGAGAUUUGGGUUUCAAAGGCAUACCUGGUCCUAAAGGUCCUCUUGGCAUUCUGGGUUUCAGUGGACCUGUUGGUCCAGAAGGGAUGAUUGGCCCAAUGGGGAAA
Molecule: long non-coding RNA, 144 nt
Organism: Salvelinus namaycush (lake trout)
Lineage: Eukaryota; Metazoa; Chordata; Actinopteri; Salmoniformes; Salmonidae
Exons: 3
Source: RefSeq, a predicted model, not a curated record